Molecule: long non-coding RNA, 1321 nt
Organism: Drosophila miranda
Lineage: Eukaryota; Metazoa; Arthropoda; Insecta; Diptera; Drosophilidae
Exons: 4
Source: RefSeq, a predicted model, not a curated record
ACAGUUUUUAACAUGUCCGCCGAAGAUGGUCCGCACUUUAGUUUGUCGUUGAUUCUGUAAGAGUGCGGCUUAGGGAGCGGAUAUAUCAGAACAGUUUUGUUAAGUGAAAUAUUUCAGUCAUCCGUUGAUGUAUUAACAUACAUAUGUAUAAAAAUAGACGAGCUAUAAGAAAUUAAAUAUUCCUUCAAUAAAUUAAGCAAAUCCACGAAAAAUACACAAAAGGAAUAAUGAUUUAACACCAUCCGAUAGAAAAACUAAAUGUUAUAUGUUCGAAAAUUUACUGUGUUUGUAUUUACUAAAUAUCGAAUACAGCUGUCAGCAGCAGCAACCGUAGCGGAGUUUGGCGAAUUUUAAACAAACAAAAAUCAAUAAACACAAAUUUAAAUAGCUGAAAAUGUUCCUCAACCUAAACGGACAUAAAUAAAAUUAUUGCAACGAAUAUAACGACCAAUGAGGUAUAAAUAAAUAUAAGUAUCAUUACCAAGCCAGUCAAAACAUUGAAGCCAUCUCAAGAAAAUUUUCAUAAAUUUCAUUUUCAAUUAAGUAAUGAAUUACGGAACGUGUUGUUGGAUUACAUGCACCACGGAAAAUAAUUAAUUGAUGAAAUUCAGUUACGUUCGAGUACUAUCUGAAGGAGUCUAUGCUGAGCCUAAAUGGUUUACUUAAUCAUUAUGCGAUUGUUUGGUAACUCUGCCAAUUGUUUAAGGAACAUAAGAAUUGAGGAAAACCCAAGAACUAAUCCGCCCGCUGUGGAAAUUGGAAAAUCGAGAAACGAUACACGGAAUGAAGUGUCAACUAAGCCUACCCCAAAGGAUUGAAACGGAAUACGAGAGUCGUUUGGUCAGUGCGCGUCAGUCGAUCGUCUAAUCCUACGAAAUUGACUUUUGAUUGCACGACUCCAACACACAGUAUCACCCACGUGACUUUCCAUGAGGGAGGGUAACUUUUCACCUGCUCGAUCCAUGCUCAUGCUGCUGACCGAACGUGACACAUGGUAAUGUAACUCAUGACAGUAAGAUAUCUAUCGUCGCCUGUGCUGUUAAAAUCACGCGGUCGUCACUGCCGCCACCCCAACAGCUGCAGCUCCGACACCGACUACUGCUGCCUGGAUGCCGGCAAUCCAGACAGCUAUCCUGGAGCGUACGAUACAUAUGACUUGGAAAUGGGGGUCUAGCAAAUCGAGCUUGCCGCAAAAUCAGUUGGGCACAACCGUGUCGCAGACGAUGUCGUCUAAUACGAUGUACCCAAAAAUCCGCACAAACGCAGCCAAUGUGAUAUUAAUUUUGUGGUACGCUCUUCGGUAAUUAAGCAAAAUGUUUUG